Non-coding RNA from Elaeis guineensis (African oil palm), 1741 nucleotides. The record is from RefSeq and is a predicted model, not a curated record. NCBI's taxonomy places the organism in Eukaryota, Viridiplantae, Streptophyta, Magnoliopsida, Arecales, Arecaceae.
UCAAGUCUGACGCGCGUUCUCUCUCUCGUACACACGCGAGGGACGGUUCUGAUAUUACAUGGACGGCAAUCGCCAGGGCACACCGAAUAAAUCAAUCAUGGAUAUCCAAGAUGAGCUCGCCGUCGCCGUCCUCCGCCAUGGUCUCCACCGAGAAGGCGCUCCGCGUCGUCCUGAGUAUAUCCCAACGCCUGCCCCUGGUCAUUGUCCGUUGCCAUGAUUCUAGGGCUGGUCUUGGCAGAGGACGUCGGCGCCCCCGAUCCAUUACCACCCUAUCGGGCCUCCGUCAAGUGGUCCAAGAGUGAUAUCUAUUGUGAAUUCUUCAGAGAACCGAGGAGGAGGACGUGUGGUUGCCGCAGCUGUAGUUCCUGAUGAAGUAGAUGGAAUCAAGGAUGUGCUACAAAAAUGGAGUGAUCUUGAUAAAGUUGACCUCAUUCUAACUUGAGGGGCAUUACACCUGAAGCUACAAAGGCUUCAAUAGAGAAAGAAACACCUAGUCUUGUGCUUGUGAUGCUCCAAGAGAGUCUCGAGGUAUCAUCAUCUUUCAUGACAAUUGUCAGUGGAAGUCUCAAAAGAGCAUAUUCUGCAAUGCAUUCCUGCUCCGUAAAUUCUAAUAACAAAAUACUACUACUACUCCCAAAUAUUAUUCCAACUUCAUGAAAAAAGAAUCUCACUCAACAAAUGAUGAUUUUUGUGAUAAUUUCUUUUUUUUCUCUCUCACAAGUUAUGCUGAAACAUUUCUAAUGUUUUGACUACUUUAAUCCGUUCCUUUUAUUUGUUCACAUAAUCUAAAUAUUUCCAAAUUUUUGUGGAAUCACAUAUGGCUGUAAAUGGUUGCUUGACCUCUUAUCCUGAAUUUCUUACUCUAUUUUAUAUAAUAGUUUCACAUUCAUACAUACCUGGUGAAUGCAUAUGUUCUUGGUCACUAUAGAAAGAUAUGUAUGGCUGACGAUGGAACAUGCAACUAAAUUGCAGUUUUGGACAUGUUCACUUUGGACACAUGCUCAUACAUAUCAGAGGAUUGACACUUGUCGUAUUGUACCAGUAAGGUACCGAUGCAAGACCUAGUAUUUGAGUGUAAAACCUUGAUUAUAAUUAUUUAGAAGAUUCAUAUUUUCAUUCUUGGUGUCUUCCCUUUAUUUUGCUAAGUUUAUAUUCUGACCACUAAUCCAAGAGACAAUGCAUUGAUUUCUGCAAGAACAGGUAAUACCAUUUGCAGUGCUCUCUUGGGCUGCAGCUGGGAUCAGAGGAUUGACACUGGUGAUGACAUUGUUCUGAUCCUAUUUUGUUAUUUGCAAAUUUUUCCACUUCAUCACUUUGUAGACCCCAGAUAAAAAGGAGAUAAAGGCUAGAAGCAUCCUCACCAUGUUCAGCAUACUGCAGCGCAACCAGUGGACCAAUGGGGAUAUAGCUUUAAGGCUGCAACUGCUGGUUCAAAAUGCUCAUGUUCUCAUUGACACUUACAAGCAGAUGGACUGCAUAGAAUUUUGCUGCCAUUUCAUGUUGAAGACUGCUAUAGAAGAGCUAAAUCAAGGAUGAUUGUUCACUUGGAGCAAAACAUUGAUGUGUAGGCUGUGUAAUUACUAUCUGUGUGGAGAGAACCUUUACUGUACAGGAACCUUACAUGGUAAAGACAUGUACUUGUGACUGGAGGCCAUUUUUUGGAGGACAACUCGUUGUUGUUAAUGGAAUGGAAAAAUGGUUUGCUGUUGGUGGACCCUUCUUGGGGGGCCUUUCUGUUGCU